UACGUAGGUGGCAAGCGUUGUCCGGAUUUAUUGGGCGUAAAGCGCGCGCAGGCGGCUAUGUAAGUCUGGUGUUAAAGCCCGGGGCUCAACCCCGGUUCGCAUCGGAAACUGUGUAGCUUGAGUGCAGAAGAGGAAAGCGGUAUUCCACGUGUAGCGGUGAAAUGCGUAGAGAUGUGGAGGAACACCAGUGGCGAAGGCGGCUUUCUGGUCUGUAACUGACGCUGAGGCGCGAAAGCGUGGGGAGCAAACAGG
This 252-nucleotide ribosomal RNA is filed under the name Brevibacillus brevis. RNAcentral describes it as "partial 16S ribosomal RNA". It matches the Rfam family "Bacterial small subunit ribosomal RNA", at positions 524 to 776 of the family's 1533-position model. The record is from RNAcentral. RNAcentral also lists the same sequence under 1 other name. Lineage: Bacteria; Bacillati; Bacillota; Bacilli; Caryophanales; Paenibacillaceae.